Molecule: long non-coding RNA, 416 nt
Organism: Lycium ferocissimum
Lineage: Eukaryota; Viridiplantae; Streptophyta; Magnoliopsida; Solanales; Solanaceae
Exons: 3
Source: RefSeq, a predicted model, not a curated record
UGUUUGAGGAUGGAGGAGAAACACCCAGAGGAAAUCUCAUGUAUACUUCCUCGUCUAGUUCACUAUGUAAAAAAGCGUUAUUUACAUCCAAUUGAUGCAAUAACCAGUGCUUCUUGAUUGCAAUGCUUAAAAUGCAACGAAUUGUGGUCAUCUUAAUCACAGGCGAGGCAUUGGUUUCUUACCAGGAGGCAAAGUGAAAAUCUCCCAAGUGCAAUUGGAUUCAAGUGCUUCAAGUUCCUUUUGCAUAGCUAAUUGCCAACCUGGGUGGUUAACUGCUUGAUGGUGAAUCAGAUGCUGUCAAGUGAUAAGGAUGAGUAGAAGCUACUGCUUCCUUGGCAGUAGUCCCAGAUUCAGAAACUGUGUUGUUUGUCAUUUUUGCAGAUGAAGAAGAGAAAGAAAACUUGAAAUCUGGGAGA